Molecule: long non-coding RNA, 767 nt
Filed under: Camelus dromedarius (Arabian camel)
Lineage: Eukaryota; Metazoa; Chordata; Mammalia; Artiodactyla; Camelidae
Description: lncRNA (ENSCDRG00005007485.1)
Source: RNAcentral
GAGGAGGCAGUGUCAUCAGGGCCCCACGCCCAACUGCCUCAGGAAGAGUCUGCACCAAGAAGGGCAGUGGACCCGCAGGCCUGGAUUCUCGGUCCUCAAGGAGACAAGAGCUGGGAGGCAUUCUAUCCUGGACUUUGGCUCUACUGGAACACCGACAGCCCCACCCCACGACACAGCCAUCUUCCCCAAACCUCUCACCCAGCCCGUCUCAGGACUGAGAGAGCCAGAGGGAGCCUGACAAGGCUGGUUCCUCACCUGAGAGACAGCAAGCCUAAGCCGUGGCCUCAGUCCCUGACCCUCUCCUUCCCCUGUGGAGCCCGGCAUGUGGGGCUACCUGUCCCUGCUCCCUGUCUUCCUGGCCUUCUGGGCUAUUGCUGGCAUCUGGACCGUGUGAGUUUUAGAGGCAGGAUGGAUGCCUGCCUCUGAAGGAGGAGGGCCUGGGUACCUGCACCCCUGGGUCUGAGGGAGGAGGGCGUGGGAGCUAGACCCCUGGGUGUGAGGGAGGAGGGGCUGGGGGUCUGGACCCCUGGGUGUGAGGGAGGAGGGGCUGGGGGUCUGGACUCCUGAGUCUGGGAAGGAGCUAGAAGUCCGGUUUCUGUGGGUAACAGAAAGAAAAGUUUCCUUCGAAAGCCCUCUAUUCACUCUGCUGUGUCCCUGACCUCAGUUUUUCGCUUGCGGUGGUCCACAAGUCAGUGAACCUCACGGAAGGCUUCCCCUAUAUCAGGUAGUUUUGCCACUGACAGCGUGGUGUGGAUGUGGGUGUUCGG